This 577-nucleotide ribosomal RNA is filed under the name uncultured archaeon. RNAcentral's name for it is "bacterial SSU rRNA". It matches the Rfam family "Archaeal small subunit ribosomal RNA", at positions 362 to 941 of the family's 1478-position model. The record is from RNAcentral.
AAAGCACGACAAGGUUAAUCCGAGUGAUUUCUGCUAAAGGAAUCUUUUGUCAUUCUUAGAAACACUGUUGAAUAAGGGUUGGGCAAUUUCUGGUGUCACCCCCCGCGGUAAAACCAGCACCUCAAGUGUUCAGGAUGAUUAUUGGGCCUAAAGCAUCCGUAGCCUGCCCUGUAAGUUUUCGGUUAAAUCUGUAUGCUCAACAUACAGGCCGCCGGGAAUACUGCAGGGUUAGGGAGUGGGAGAGGUAGACGGUACUCGGGAGGAAGUGGUAAAAUGCUUUGAUCUCUCGAUGACCACCUGUGGCGAAGGCGGUCUACCAGAACACGUCCGACGGUGAGGGAUGAAAGCUGGGGGAGCAAACCGGAUUAGAUACCCGGGUAGUCCCAGCCGUAAACGAUGCAAACUCAGUGUUGCAUUGGCAUGUAGCCAAUGCAGUGCCGCAGGGAAGCCGUUAAGUUUGCCGCCUGGGAAGUACGUUCGCAAGAAUGAAACUUAAAGGAAUUGGCGGGGGAGCACACAAGGGGUGAAGCCUGCGGUUCAAUUGGAGUCAACGCGGGAGGAAUUGGCGGGGGAGCAC